NNNCUCACUUUGGCAGCACAUACGCUAAAAUUGGAACGAUACUGAGAAGAUUAUCAUGGCCCCUGUGAGAGGAUGACACGCAAAUCCGUGAAGCAUUCCAAAAUAAC
Tupaia belangeri (northern tree shrew) is the source of this 107-nucleotide small nuclear RNA. Lineage: Eukaryota; Metazoa; Chordata; Mammalia; Scandentia; Tupaiidae. The record is from Ensembl.